This 1558-nucleotide long non-coding RNA is filed under the name Malus domestica (apple). RNAcentral's name for it is "long non-coding RNA (MDOM_LNC004275)". The record is from RNAcentral. Lineage: Eukaryota; Viridiplantae; Streptophyta; Magnoliopsida; Rosales; Rosaceae.
AUGUCCAGUUUGAGUUUGGGGGUAAAGAGUAUAAAAAAUGACCAAAUUGAAAUUUUUUUGUACCUUCAACUACGAACGAGUUUCAUUUGUUUCCAUGUUGUUGCUUUUUGUUUUCUUAAUUAGUUUUGUUUUCUUUUAAAAAAUUAAAAAAAAAUCGGAAAUUUUAAAAAAUCCAAAAAUAUUGUCUUGUUUCCCUUAUUGUUUUGAAUUAGAUUUUUGUUAGUUUCCCGACCCAAUGAUAUAAUUGGAUCAAAUUUGAACCAUGAUCAUCAAGAACUUAGUUAACAUGUGUUUUGUGAAAUUCCUAAUUCUCUUGUUAGUUUUGUACAUGUUUGAUCAUCUUUGAAAAACCAAAUGCACAUAGCCUUGUUGAUGUGAAACUAAAGCAUGACUUAAAGCUUCAUAUGUGAAUUUAGUGACCAUAUACAUCCUAUGUGAGUUUUUGAGCCUAUUGAAAGUGUGUGCAUUUUUCAUACACUCCUAUUUUUUUUUUUUUAUGUGUGAUGAACUUAUGUGAGAUACAUCUCUAGAACUUGCGUAACGAUCUUUCGAAAUGUUUGUCAUUGAUUGCAUGAACUUGGAAAUGAUAGAGGCAUUAGGUUUACCACUAUGGCCCAAAUAACCAUGUUUCCUAAAGAAAAAUGAUAUCAUUAGAUUGCCAAUUUGAGCCGUAUUUGUUGAGCCUUUUAUUUCUUAUCACCAGAUAUGUCUACCCUUAUACCUGAAACAUUUUUCCUUACCCUUUCCAAGCGAGCAAUGAGAGAUUGUCUUAUGAGAAAUGUUUGUGAAGUACUUUGAAGGUGUUUGGCAAAAGAAUAAGUGUGGGGGUAUUUCAUGUUUGUAUUUAAAAAAAAAAAAAAAAAAAAAAAAAAAAGAGAAGAAAAGAAAAAGAAAGAUUGUAUACAAAUAAAAUAAAAAGUUUUUAAAGUUUCAGUUUAAGGGUGUGGUUGGAGGUGCUAGAAGAAUUGCUAGAGAGCUUGAGUUCUUAUAAAUCUAAAGAAAAGAAUUGCUUGCAAUGUAGCUUGGAACUUGUGUUUUCCUAUUCUAUCGUUUCAAUAACCCUAUCCCUAAACCUCAUUACAUCCAAUAAAAGUCCUCUUGAUUUAAGUUUUGCAAUUAUGAUUGUGGAGAUGAGAUCUUUAUGCAAGCUUAUGGUAGAAAUUUCACAUUUGAUUCUUUGAGCGAAACACAUUUAAACUAAACACAUGUGUGAUUGAGUGUAUAUCAUGUGAGAAGGUUGCUAGUUUGCAUAUGAUGAUUUUAAAAAUAUAAAAAAUUUUGAAAUUGCAUUAGCUUGGCUAUCUCACACACUACACUUCAAGGAUGAUUCAAAGAUUACUGCUAAUAUUUGAAUAAGGAAGAUGAACUUGGAUUAGUUCCUUGAUGCUAGCUAUGGUUCUUGAUGAUUUGUUUUCUUGAAUGAAAUUCUAUGAGGGUCACAUAGAGGGAAGCUAAUGUUUUUCAUGUUAUUACUUUUUCAUAUUUUCUUUGUUUUGCUAGAGGACUAGCAAAGAUGUAAGUUUGGGGGUAUUUGAUCACUCAUAUAUUUCAUACAUUU